AAUGGCCUAACGGCCGAACUGGCAACUUGAAAGAAUGGGAAGUUUGAAAAUAGAAAUAUAAGUAAAAUUUAAUUGAUUAAUCGAAUAAAAUUUUAAAUACAUUGAUAUAAUGACGAUAUGUAUAUACGGUCUUGACAAAAUACGUGCCAGCAGUCGCGGUAAUACGUAUGAGACUAGCGUUAUUCAUCUUAAAUAGGUUUAAAGGGUACUCAAACGGUCAGAUUAUCCUUUAAUAGGUAAUAUUUGUCUAGAGUUUUAUGUAAGAAGACAGUACUUAGAGUGGAGAGAUUAUAUUCUGUGAUACCAAAGGGACUGGCAACGGCGUAGGCAGUCUUUUAUGUAAAAACUGACGUUGAAGGACGAAGGCAUAGAUCGCAAACAGGAUUUGACACCCCAGUAGUCUUUGCAGACAAUGAUGAAUGCCGUAGAUUAGAUGAGAAUUUAGUCUAUCAAUGAAAAUAAAAGCAUUUCACCUCAAGAGUAAUGUGGCAACGCAGGAACUGAAAUCACUAGACCGUUUCUGACACCAGUAGUGAAGUAUGUUAUUUAAUUCGAUGAUCCACGAAAAACCUUACCACGAUUUGCAUAUUACAUUUUAAUGUAAUACAGGUGUUGCACGGCUGUUUUCAGUUAAUGUUGUGAAAUUAUGGUUUUUCCAUGAAUUAACAGAAUCCUUUGCUUUA
Molecule: ribosomal RNA, 683 nt
Filed under: Verticillium dahliae
Lineage: Eukaryota; Fungi; Ascomycota; Sordariomycetes; Glomerellales; Plectosphaerellaceae
Description: mitochondrial SSU rRNA
Rfam family: Bacterial small subunit ribosomal RNA
Source: RNAcentral